GCUAGCUAGCGCAAUCCGAUCUGAAAUUGGGUAGAAGAUAGUCAUGAUAGUUUAGAAGAUCAAGACUGCCAGUACCGUAGGCGUAGUUGAAUCGUAAAAAUUACGUUUUCUCGUCUAUUGAUGGAUUAGUUUGUCGUUUCUCUUGUUUACAUGUGAUACAAUUGUUAAAGAUUGGACCUAGGCCAAGGUAGCAACAGGACAGUAACCAUUUACAUGGAAUGUGGUUUGCCGUGGUAGAUGUUUGUUGUAGCUUUAAGUUCAAGUUUUGGAUUGAAGGCAGCUCUUACCUUUCAUAUUUCCCAUCAUCACUGCAUGGUUAGUAGAGUGUGGGGUUGUUUGCCAUUCACCAACUACUAAGACUGACUUCAAGAUGAGUCUUACCAGUGGACUAACCAGACCUAAGAGAAUGGCUGUUGGUAUCCUCUUACUCCUUGUAGUGGAUGUCAUCUGGGUCGUUUCAUCAGAGAUAACUCAGGUAAGCUCUAAAUAAAUCAGACAGUAUGUACAUGUAGCUGCAGUAUAAUCAGAGUGUGUUCUAUUCUUUUUACCUUUAUGCCCAAACAAACUUGUUCCCAUGUUGUACAUGUAUGUGAUUCCGCACAAUGGUUAAUUUUAAAGCAUCAGUUUAAAAAAAAUAUGUUAAAUGAUUGGCAACAAAAAUAAAUGGGGCCUACAUUUACUGUAGCUUUUUUAGACCUGCAUUGAGGUGUGAGAGUGGUUUGUCGCAAGAGUUGCUUGAGCCUGUACACACUGUCUUUUUAUAUUGAUCAAACUCAAAGGAGGUCUGGUUGAACAUGAUUCUUGGCAGUUCUUAUAUGUUAUCAAUUUUAAGUUUUGCUGCUGAAACCGUGCCCUUAUCCAGUAGAGUUCUAGGACCUGGGCCCGUAUUCCAUAAACAAGAUAAGCUUUUUGCUUAAGUCUUAGCAAUUUGUCUUAGCAUUUUGCUUGUCUAAGAAAUCUUCCCUAAGGAUAUUCUAUAAACUUUAAGACAUUUGUCUCAAGUCAGACGAUAUGGCUAAGCCAAAGUCUCAAAGUCAAAUUCUAUGACCUUCUAAACUGCUGCAGGGGUGACUGCAACAAAAUAGCAAAAAUGUCAUUGAAGUUGUUUUUUCUUAACAAGUUUGAUUUUAUUGAAACUAAUUACAACUAUUGUAGUAGAAGAAGAGCAUUCAUCACCCAUAUAUGGUAAGAAUUUUUUAUUCAGAUUAUCUAUAUAUUUUUAAUUACCAAAACAUUUCAAUCCCAAACCGAGUGACUUGCACAGUUUUUUAUGUAUCAGUCCCAUUCAUUACUUUUCAUGUAUUGUUUGUCAAAAUCUAAAUGGAAUAGAUUCCUCUCGACAUCUUUAUUCUACUUCACUGAAGUAGAUCUAGGGUCUAAGGGAAAACAUUUGUAACUUUUGAGACUAGUCUUGGGUCUAACAUUAGGCCUAGAUCUAGCCUAGGCCCAAGAUCUACAACUAAUAUCCGUCUGUUUGGAGGAGAAUUGAACAUUGUUUUUACUUUUUACUUUCCUGAAGGCUGAAGCAAAACGUAACUUUGUUAGUCCAGUGCCGUAGUGGAGCAACUGAGACUGAAGCUACGUAGGCCUAGAUCUAACGAUAGACCUAUAUUAGUAUUGGUCUAGGCCUAGAACAUGCAGGACUUAGCCUGGCUUAGCCUUAAGACAGGGAUAGAUCUAUCUAGAUCUACAUGUAGGUCUAGAAUAGAUCUGACUUAGACCAAAAGCUUCAGUCUCCGACUGUAUUUUGGUUGUUCCGCUAUAUUACGAGUACGACACUAAACUGUAAACAAUCUAACGUUACGUUGGCCUAGUCUCACCAAUGUGAUAUGACAGUAAAUGUCAGAAACUUUUAAAUAAAUCCCCAGAAACGACGGUUAUUCCUGUCAACAGUGCUAGAUCUAUCGCUACGCAUUGCUUGCCAACUAUGCCUAAAGUUAGAUCUAGUCCUAGUAGUAGUCUAGACAUCUGAUCUAUCUUGCCCCGGGGACCUCGACACGACGUCUUUAGACACAGUACGUGUUCAGGCUGCCGCAGUAAGACAUCUAUCUAGAUCUACUCUUGCUUUUUUUAGGUCCAUCUGUUUGUUUGGAGUUUUUAUUUUAUACAUUUUGAGGACUUGUUUAGAUCUAGGUUUCCAGGACUAGAAAACAGGCCUAAACCUAGACCAACACUGGCAACAGCUCAGUCUAGACUAGGCCUAGGGCCUAGAUUUAUAUAAGAAUUUAGAUCUAGGGCCUAGGCGGCCUAGCCUGUGCUUUCUUCUAUUCAUUCUAGAUUCUAUUUCUAGCCUAUCCGGUAGCCCUAACGUUAGGACUGGCUGAUCUAGUCUACUGUUUGAUCUAGAAAUCUCUAACCUAGGCCUAGAUCUAGACUAAAUGACUUACUCACUUAGACUAAAAUUAGACCCUAUCUAGAUCUAGAACUAUACAAAUCUAGGUGUACAUAGGGUCAUAGUAAUAGGUCUAGAUCUAGAGACUUGUAGACUCUAUCUCAAUGUAGAUUCUAGAUCUAAAAAUAGUAAAUGUAGGCUAGAUCUAGUCUAGUUCUACUCAUUUAACGUUAGGCCUGAGAAAGGAAGUAGGCUAGGGAUCUAGCAUUGGAUUAUUUCUAGGACUAAAGGAUCUUGAUCUAGGCUUAGAUCUAAACUAGGGGCUGUAGUUCGAAAUCUUGAGGUCUAGCCCCCCCCCCCCCCAAAAAAAAAAAAAAAAAAAAAAAAACUAGAACUAAGCCCUCAGCUACAUGUAGUUCUCUAUGACUAUGUAGCCAAACAAAAGUUAGCAUUGACCAUUGUCUUAAUCUUUUUUUGGCGUAUACAUGUAGUUAUCAUACAAACACAUAUUUUGAUGAAUGAGAAAAUGUGUCUUGCAGAUUAUUUUAGCUCAAAACCUACAUUUCAUGGACAUAUAGGCCAAUGUCAUAAAAUGAAGAAGUAGUUCAAUACACAUCAUGCUGUUUACACAUUUAUUGAUCUGAUAUGCUGUUAUUAUGGCAACACAUUUUCCAAUAUAUGUCUUGCAGAUCUACACCUCAAAAUCAAUUUGUGAGCCAACUUUUAUAAGAAUUGGUAAAACUGAUAAAGGGAUUCAAACCACAAGAUUUUCACCUAAUUUCUUUAUAUAAUAUGUUGUUACCUUGGCAACACGAUUUCUGAUACAGACAAAAAUAGUCUUGCACAUCUUCAACUCAAGACUAUUGUGUGUGCCAAAUUUCAUGAGCAUUGGUUGAAAAAAGAUGAAGGAGUUCGAACUACAAGAUUUUCACCUUAUUUUCGUUAUAUAAUAUGUUACCAUAGCAACCCGAAUCUGAUACAGGCAAAAGUAUAUCUUAGACAUCUUCAACUCAAGACUAUUGUGUGCGCCAACAUUUUAGGAGAAUUGACCAGUUGAAAACUGAUAAAGUAAUUCAAAUCACAAGAUUUUCAUCUAAUUUUUGUUAUUUUAUUUGUUGCCAUGGCAACGCAAUUUUUUAUAAAGGCAUAAAAUAUACUUUGCACAUCUUCAAAUCAAGACUAACGUUUGUGCCACAUUUCAUGAGAAUUGAUUAAAAACUGAAGAAGUCGUUGGAACUGCAAGAUUUUUACAUAAUUUUUGCCCUAAUAUACCGUUAC
This is a long non-coding RNA of Lytechinus pictus (painted urchin), 3610 nucleotides long. RefSeq lists it as uncharacterized. NCBI's taxonomy places the organism in Eukaryota, Metazoa, Echinodermata, Echinoidea, Temnopleuroida, Toxopneustidae. The record is from RefSeq and is a predicted model, not a curated record. The transcript has 2 exons.